GUGUUUCUAGGUCACAAAAUAAACUUUUAAGAUAUUUUCAGGCGAGAAUGUAGGUGUGUAAACUUCAAAUAUCUGCUUGUUUUAUCAAGACAUCCCAUAUUUAGCGACAGUGCUCUGACGACGUCGGUCCUGCCUGACAGCUAGCCGGCUACCUAGCUAGCUGCUGCACUUGGCUGCAAAUGGAUAGCGAGGGGACUCUCUCUGUCGUUUCAAUCGUGGAUCAGGGAAAGCGAAGGCAGGAGCGUGAGGUGAACUGAAUUUCAGGCGUUAACUACAGCAGCCUUUUAUACCUCAACUCUUGAUUCAGCCAAGGUAAGUGCCCCCCCCUUAUAUUUUCUAUGUAUGUGUUCAGCUGAUAUUUAGAAAAAAAUAGGUGUGUUUAGCGCUGGAUGUCAUUUUAUUCCAGAGCUGUUGUUUGUAAUUAAAACUUUUAAGAUUAGAUGGUACAGUGUUUUUACUCCCUUCCAAACAGUAAAGUUCCUCUUUGUUUCUCAGUAGGAAAUUUAAACCAGACAGUACAAGGCUACAUUUCAGUGUUACACAAUCAGUUUGCUAAUUGUUCUGUGAGAUUUGUUUGCAAAGUUUAAGGUGUUAAGUAGGACUGUGAACAUCUGGGUCUGCUUGCUGCUGGCAUUCUGCCAGAGCCCCAGCAACAAGACCGCCUCCCAGCAACGAGAGUGCCUGUCAGCCUUGCAAGGUACCCAAUUUUCCAAUUACUCUAUAACAAAACUGUUGUGGGCAACUAGACUGUCUCCUAAGUUUGCAAGCCAAUCACUUUGCCAAAUGUUCUUGUAAGAUUUGUUUGAAAAGUUUGAGGUGGUAACUGUGAGCUGUGAACAUCUGGGUUUGCUUGCUGCUGGCAUUUGACCAGCGUCUCAGCAACAACACUGCCUCCCAGCUUUGCAAGGUAAUUACUUUCCCAAUUACUGUACACCAAAACGAAGUAACUGUCGUGGUCAACAAAUCUGCCUCCCAACUUUCAAGGUAAUCACUUUCUCAAUUACAAUAUACAAACUGUUAUGGAACUUUACUUAACAAAGCCUUAAGACCGGGUAGUGACACUAUCAAUAUGUCUAUUUAAAGAAAAGAGAGAUUUUUUUUUGUUCUUGUAGUCCUCUUGUCUGUCAAUGUAUCAGAGGGUUAAAAUAACAAAUUGCUUGAAAUGCCAAUAAUUAAUAUUCUGUUUUUAUGUUGACAUUCUACCAGAUGCCGAAAAAAAAUAAAAGAUCCCAGGCACAAAAGAAGCGCUGGAAACCGCUUGACCUGGUCGAUCCUGCAAUGCUCACUGGCCACAACCAAGAUGAGGCAGUCAGUAGUUUUCCAUCUGACCAGCAGACGGCACCAGCCGGGUUAUCUUUGGAAACACAGGAUAGACCCACCUCCUUAUGUUCCCCAGGUACCAAGACAGCACCAGCCAGCUUGUCCUUGGAAACGGAGAAUAGACCCACCUCCUUAUGUCCUCCAGGCAGCAAGAGUUCAGAAACUCGUCCACCAGCAAAACGAGUCUGGGCAACCGAUGAUUUCCACAUGGCAUCAAAUUCUCCACCUAAAAAGCCUUUCCACAACACAAAUGAACAACUACUGACAGAGGAGCUACAGAGCAACGCAGUUCAGCACUUCUGGUGUGUCAGUGCAACUCAUUGUCAAAGUGAUGAAAGGUACACAGAAUUCUCUCGAAAUCAUCAGUGCACAUGUAAUGCCCUCACAUUCCUGGCCUACCUUAAUGAGGAACACCAGUUCAACACAGCCCGACUUGAUAAGGUGCUUGAACAGGGAGAUGCACUCUACUGUUGGAUUAAAACAAAUCUUCAGCAGGAGAGGCGUUAUACACAAGAUCAUCUGACCAUGGAGGACCUGCCCAAAGAAGUUCAUGCUGACAUAAAUGUCUACAGUGUGAAAAUGGACAACAUAA
Oreochromis aureus is the source of this 1912-nucleotide long non-coding RNA. The record is from Ensembl. NCBI's taxonomy places the organism in Eukaryota, Metazoa, Chordata, Actinopteri, Cichliformes, Cichlidae.